GUGCUUGCUAUAGUAGCACAUAUACUAAAACUGGAACGAUAAAAGAGAAGGUUAGCAUUGCCCCUGCACAAGGAUGACACACAAAUUUGUGAAGCAUUCCAUAUUAAA
This is a small nuclear RNA of Nycticebus coucang (slow loris), 108 nucleotides long. Lineage: Eukaryota; Metazoa; Chordata; Mammalia; Primates; Lorisidae. The record is from RefSeq and is a predicted model, not a curated record.